This 253-nucleotide ribosomal RNA is filed under the name uncultured bacterium. Its description in RNAcentral is "partial 16S ribosomal RNA". It matches the Rfam family "Bacterial small subunit ribosomal RNA", at positions 524 to 776 of the family's 1533-position model. The record is from RNAcentral.
GACAGGGGGCUCGAGCGUUAAUCGGAAUCACUGGGCUUAAAGGGUGCGUAGGCGGGUCGGUAAGCAUUCCGUGAAAUCCCUUGGCUCAACCAAGGAACUGCGAGAUGGACUGCCGACCUUGAGGUAGCUAGAGGCGGGUAGAACGAUAGGUGGAGCGGUGGAAUGCGUAGAUAUCUAUCGGAAUGCCGAAAGUGAAGACAGCCCGCCGGGGCUUACCUGACGCUAAAGCACGAAAGCGUGGGGAGCAAACCGG